This 427-nucleotide ribosomal RNA is filed under the name uncultured bacterium. Its description in RNAcentral is "partial 16S ribosomal RNA". It matches the Rfam family "Bacterial small subunit ribosomal RNA", at positions 355 to 774 of the family's 1533-position model. The record is from RNAcentral.
UGGGGAAUAUUGCACAAUGGGCGCAAGCCUGAUGCAGCCAUGCCGCGUGUAUGAAGAAGGCCUUCGGGUUGUAAAGUACUUUCAGCGGGGAGGAAGGCGAUAAGGUUAAUAACCUUGUCGAUUGACGUUACCCGCAGAAGAAGCAUCGGCUAACUCCGUGCCAGCAGCCGCGGUAAUACGGAGGGUGCAAGCGUUAAUCGGAAUUACUGGGCGUAAAGCGCACGCAGGCGGUCUGUCAAGUCGGAUGUGAAAUCCCCGGGCUCAACCUGGGAACUGCAUUCGAAACUGGCAGGCUAGAGUCUUGUAGAGGGGGGUAGAAUUCCAGGUGUAGCGGUGAAAUGCGUAGAGAUCUGGAGGAAUACCGGUGGCGAAGGCGGCCCCCUGGACAAAGACUGACGCUCAGGUGCGAAAGCGUGGGGAGCAAACA